This 310-nucleotide ribosomal RNA is filed under the name uncultured bacterium. Its description in RNAcentral is "bacterial SSU rRNA". It matches the Rfam family "Bacterial small subunit ribosomal RNA", at positions 26 to 334 of the family's 1533-position model. The record is from RNAcentral.
AAAACCAAGACGAACGCUGGCGGCGUGCUUAACACAUGCAAGUCGAGCGGUAAGGCCUUUCGGGGUACACGAGCGGCGAACGGGUGAGUAACACGUGGGUGAUCUGCCCUGCACUUCGGGAUAAGCCUGGGAAACUGGGUCUAAUACCGGAUAUGACCUCCUAUCGCAUGGUGGGUGGUGGAAAGAUUUAUCGGUGCAGGAUGGGCCCGCGGCCUAUCAGCUUGUUGGUGGGGUAAUGGCCUACCAAGGCGACGACGGGUAGCCGACCUGAGAGGGUGACCGGCCACACUGGGACUGAGACACGGCCCAG